Long non-coding RNA from Mya arenaria, 459 nucleotides. RefSeq lists it as uncharacterized. The record is from RefSeq and is a predicted model, not a curated record. NCBI's taxonomy places the organism in Eukaryota, Metazoa, Mollusca, Bivalvia, Myida, Myidae. The transcript is spliced from 3 exons.
GCAAGCCCCUGGACGACGUUGAUUGAAUUUAUUUUGAAAGCAAAACAACAACACUAUUUUAUCGUUUUUUUUCGACAAACGGAUUACAGACACAUAAAUCGUUAUUGAUGCUGUCGCAGUUUAGCGAAGUCUUGAAAGAUGAAAUUUCAAGUUUUAAAAAGAAAACAAGCCAUGAACCAGCCCAGGACUCAACCAUCUUGGAGCAGGGCCUCACUUUGAGAGAGCCACCCAUGCCUGGUUCCACAGGUCCCUUUCCUGUUCCUAUGGAGCUUGUCCUGUUAAUGAGCAGCCCUCUGAUCAAUGUGGACCAGGAACACAGCUUUUCAGCCUCUCAGACAGACAGACAGAAGCCGUUUCAAGACAGGGUUUUAACAAUUUAGAGUGCAUUGAAAAUGACAGUGCCUUCACUGAUAGUGACAAUGUAAAACUCCAUGUGUCUGGGUUACCCCCACCGAAUUA